GUACGGGAGGCAGCAGUGGGGAAUUUUGGACAAUGGGCGCAAGCCUGAUCCAGCCAUUCCGCGUGCAGGAUGAAGGCCCUCGGGUUGUAAACUGCUUUUGUACGGAACGAAAAGGCUCUUUCUAAUACAAGGGGCUCAUGACGGUACCGUAAGAAUAAGCACCGGCUAACUACGUGCCAGCAGCCGCGGUAAUACGUAGGGUGCAAGCGUUAAUCGGAAUUACUGGGCGUAAAGCGUGCGCAGGCGGUUAUGUAAGACAGAUGUGAAAUCCCCGGGCUCAACCUGGGAACUGCAUUUGUGACUGCAUAGCUAGAGUGCGGUGGAGGGGGAUGGAAUUCCGCGUGUAGCAGUGAAAUGCGUAGAUAUGCGGAGGAACACCGAUGGCGAAGGCAAUCCCCUGGACCUGUACUGACGCUCAUGCACGAAAGCGUGGGGAGCAAACAGGAUUAGAUACCCUGGUAGC
Molecule: ribosomal RNA, 463 nt
Filed under: uncultured bacterium
Lineage: Bacteria
Description: bacterial SSU rRNA
Rfam family: Bacterial small subunit ribosomal RNA
Source: RNAcentral